This 253-nucleotide ribosomal RNA is filed under the name uncultured bacterium. Its description in RNAcentral is "partial 16S ribosomal RNA". It matches the Rfam family "Bacterial small subunit ribosomal RNA", at positions 524 to 776 of the family's 1533-position model. The record is from RNAcentral.
UACGGAGGGAGCUAGCGUUGUUCGGAAUUACUGGGCGUAAAGCGCACGUAGGCGGCUUUGUAAGUUAGAGGUGAAAGCCCGGAGCUCAACUCCGGAACUGCCUUUAAGACUGCAUCGCUUGAAUCCAGGAGAGGUGAGUGGAAUUCCGAGUGUAGAGGUGAAAUUCGUAGAUAUUCGCAAGAACACCAGUGGCGAAGGCGGCUUACUGGUCCGGUUCUGACGCUGAGGCGCGAAAGCGUGGGGAGCAAACAGG